GCUCGUAGUUGGAUUUCGGGUGGGGCCUGCCGGUCCGCCGUUUCGGUGUGCACUGGCAGGGCCCACCUUGUUGCCGGGGACGGGCUCCUGGGCUUCACUGUCCGGGACUCGGAGUCGGCGCUGUUACUUUGAGUAAAUUAGAGUGUUCAAAGCAGGCCUACGCUCUGAAUACAUUAGCAUGGAAUAACACGAUAGGACUCUGGCCUAUCCUGUUGGUCUGUAGGACCGGAGUAAUGAUUAAGAGGGACAGUCGGGGGCAUUCGUAUUUCAUUGUCAAAGGUGAAAUUCUUGGAUUUAUGAAAGACGAACUACU
This 313-nucleotide ribosomal RNA is filed under the name Chlorella vulgaris. Its description in RNAcentral is "SSU rRNA". It matches the Rfam family "Eukaryotic small subunit ribosomal RNA", at positions 626 to 944 of the family's 1831-position model. The record is from RNAcentral. RNAcentral also lists the same sequence under 1 other name. Lineage: Eukaryota; Viridiplantae; Chlorophyta; Trebouxiophyceae; Chlorellales; Chlorellaceae.